This 501-nucleotide ribosomal RNA is filed under the name uncultured bacterium. Its description in RNAcentral is "partial 16S ribosomal RNA". It matches the Rfam family "Bacterial small subunit ribosomal RNA", at positions 29 to 523 of the family's 1533-position model. The record is from RNAcentral.
AUUGAACGCUGGCGGCAUGCCUUACACAUGCAAGUCGAACGGCAGCACGGGUGCUUGCACCUGGUGGCGAGUGGCGAACGGGUGAGUAAUACAUCGGAACGUACCUUAUCGUGGGGGAUAACGCAGCGAAAGCUGUGCUAAUGCCGCAUACGCCCUGAGGGGGAAAGCGGGGGAUCGAAAGACCUCGCGCGAUUAGAGCGGCCGAUGCCUGAUUAGCUUGUUGGUGGGGUAAAAGCCCACCAAGGCGACGAUCAGUAGCUGGUCGGAGAGGACGAUCAGCCACACUGGGACUGAGACACGGCCCAGACUCCUACGGGAGGCAGCAGUGGGGAAUUUUGGACAAUGGGGGCAACCCUGAUCCAGCAAUGCCGCGUGAGUGAAGAAGGCCUUCGGGUUGUAAAGCUCUUUUGUCAGGGAAGAAACACCGGCUCUAACACAGUCCGGGAAUGACGGUACCUGAAGAAUAAGCACCGGCUAACUACGCGCCAGCCGCCGCAGUAA